CUUAACAGAUUUUGACAGUAAUAUGCUCUUAGAAUUUCAAGAUGUUGAAAAAUCAAGUCCGGCUGUUUGGAAUCGUGUUUCCACAGUUGCUGCAGAUGAUUAAGUCUGGUCAGGUGUAACAUUUUUAUCAGUGCCAGCUUCCUCGCAUGUGUCUCCAAAUAUCCUUCAUUUGAAAAUACCACUUCGUACGAACAAUCCGACAGGUGGAGAAAUUCCAGAUUGUGAAACCUCUCAAGUAAACCAAGUGGAAAGCAAGCUAAGUCAUCAUCCCCAACCUGUAGUCGUUUGAGACUGCCAAAGAGGUGUUGUGGGAAAUCGCCUUGCAAAAUCAUCGUGAUGUCUUUUCCACUUAAUGCCAGUUCCUCCAAGUUGGGUAAGAUCUGAUCAUCAUCAAGCACAAAUUAUUAACUUAGCACAUUGAUCCCUAAUUCGAGACUGGCAAAAUUCAUUGUUAUAUACACACACAUAUAUAUAUAGUAUUUAUUAAAAUUUCUGGUCUGUGAGUAAGAAACAACAAAGACAACUGACAAAAAAUCUAAAAGUUGGUUUCAUACCUUCUUGAACGAGAAUAGGGGCUGUUGUGCCGGAACACCAAAUUGAUCAUUCUCGUUAUUCUGGGAUAACGUCAUUUUAUCACAAUUACACGCCUCCAAUAUUUUUAGUGCUGGCCAUUCCGAUGUAUGCAUUCCAGGGUAUAAACAUCUAAGUUCUGGUAGACCUUCGAGUUUCAGAGUGGUCACCCGUGGAAAGACAAAAUAAGCGGUCACUUGAUCUGUUCUGUUUUCAGAAAUGAUUUCUUGUAAACUCUUACAUAACCGUAUCUCCAGGUGUUGGAGUUGCUCAAGGCUUUGGAUCGUAGAAGCUGAAAAUAUGUAUUUUAAUUUGUCACAGCCCCACACUAUCAAUCGUGUCAAACUUCGAAGGCAAGGAACCAUGGCCGGAAGUUGAUUGUAAUGCCAAAUCUCGUCGACAUUAAUAGCAUUCAGCUCCAAAGCCUCCAAAUUUGGCAACACUACCUAAAGAUAAUUUUGUCGUUAGAUCCAAUAUCCAUAUAAGAAGUGCUUAUUGAGAGCUUAAUUAGUGAGUGUAUGAGAUUUUUUUUUUUUGCAUUUUCUUUUUCUAAAUGAUUUAAUUUUUUUUCACUUAUGGCAUCAAAUGCAAGUUCAUGAUAGAAUAAAAAAAAAAAUGCAAUAUCCAUAUGAAAAGGACUUGUGUGGUCCAGUUUGGGAUUAUGGAUGCUGAUUAAAUAAGUUGCUCCUGCUGUACGGAUGCAAUAAGUAGUUGAUUAAAAAAGCAGUUAGCUGUUUGGUAAACUGUGUUGUUGCAGUUGCUGUGAGUUUGAAAAGCAAUGUACAUGCGUUUGGUAAAUUUUAUUACAAACGUGUUAUUUUAUCAUAUAAUGACCAAAAUAUAUAUAAGUUUAAAUUUCCGUUUAUUUUUUUUAAGCAUGUUUAAUAAUCUUUAGAUAUGUCAUUUUCUUUUUAAAAUACGUAAAAUUAUAUUAAGUGAAAAAACUUAAUAAUUUGUUACAUAAAAUAUGAUAAAAAUUUAUACUAGUAUAUGAUCCAAAUAAAAUAAAAAAAGUAAUAUGCAUUACUUUCACAUUAAACUUGUUGCAAUAAACACCAUGACUAUAGAAAAUAUAAAUAGAUUGAAUGUUAAAAGCUAUGGUUAUAAAAUUGAUUUUAAAAGUUAUGAUUAAUUUUCAUGUGAAAUUGUUUAUAGUUCAAAAAAAAUUUACAUAAUUACAUGCAAGUCUUUUUUAAUCUUAUUAUAGAAAAUACAAGUAUAAUAUAAAAAAUAUGAACUUACUAAAUCAAAACUUUGAUAUUAGAGAGAAUAUAUAGUAGUUGUGGUGGUAAUAUGAUAUCUAAUAACUUAUAUAUUAGAGUGUAUGGAAAUAUAUGACAUAAUUAUUUUUGUUAAAAUAUUAAUUAAGGUUAUAAUAGAAACUUUAAAAAGAUGUGAUAGCUUAUUUAAUAAGCUGCUUAUGAAAAGUAACUCCCUAUCUGCUUUUAAAAGUUAAUGUCAAAAUAGAGAAAAUUAUAAAAUAAACAGUUUUUACAAAAUUUAACAAAUACUAUUUUUGUCACAGAUUAUGAAAUAGACAGUUUAUUGAGUUUUAACCUCAAUUCCAAACAGGGGCCACAAUAUCCACAUGACAAGCACUUAUUGAGAGCUUAAUUUGUGAAUAUAUGAGAUUUUUUUUUCUUUUUCUAAAUGAUUUAAUUUUUUUGCACAUAUGGCAUCAAAUGCGAGUGCAUGAUAGAAUAAAGGAAAAAAAAAAAAAAAGAAUGCAUUACCCUACGCACCUUCUCGUUGAAAAGCAGAGUUGAAGUAUCCGAACUGAUCUCGUUGGAACUAGCUAUCAAUUCCUCUUGCGACUCUUGUCUGUUUGGUGAUGUGGAAGGAGUCUUCACUUCACGGCAAAACCUUGUAACCUUUGGAAGCGUUCCCAGACUCAAAGAUCUUAGUUGACCAAACUCUAUCGUCUCAUCAACAUCGACAUCAGCUUCUCCUCCAGUUGCAAAAAUCUCUUCCAUGCUGCUGCAAUUGAGAACUGCAAUCCUCUCAAGUCUUGGAAGGCAUUUUGUACUACUAGAGAGCCAGAAGAUAUUACUCAUCUCAUCACAAUUUUCCACUUUUAUGGUUUGGAGUUCAUUGAAGGACUCUAUUGUGAGUCGAUCAAUACAUAUCCUCUCCAUAUUGAUCAAAUUGUGAAGAGUAAGGGACUCCAAAAGAGGAAAGGCGACACAAGGUUCUCUCUCCAUUGAAUCGGCAAUACACAGGAAGUCUGGAUUAUUUUGAACAUGGAGAUGCUUCAAUUGUGAAAAGCCCUCAGUGUCCAAUUCGAAAACAACAUUCUUGAUUCCUUGCAACUUAUCUAAACAUAAGUAUUCAACGUUAUUGAUGCCCUGCAACUUCUCGGAGCAAAUGGCCAUAGAAUCAAGCUUGAGCUUCAAUGUUCUUAAACUCUCAUGAUUACUGAUUGUUAGAGCAGCUCAUUAUGCUGAACAGAAGAAGGUGAAGACUAAGAUGAAGAAAAUACAGAGCAAGUUACAGGGCAAGUGUGUCAGCAGUGCCAGCUCAGCUAACAGCUCAGCAGAUUAGUUAAAGAUGGUUGUAAGCAUGAUGUGCAUUGUACUGAAGUUAGUUAGCUUUGAUUACAGUUAGUCUUUGGAUUAGUUAAAUGAAGUUACCGUGAUUGCAUUGUAUAUAAACAGGUGAUGCUUUGUAAUCAAAAGUUAAGCAAAAUAAAAAUCAAAGUUUGUUAAGGAAAUAUCUCCAGAAUUAUCAAUUCAUUUUCUUAGUAACCAAACAACUUUAUUUCAUUUUUCUUUCAUGGUAUCAGAGCAAGGUUAAUGGCUAGUUCCAGUAGCACAACAUCAAAUCCAAAUCAAAUGAAUAUAAAUCAAUCAUCACAUAUCUCCUUUUCGUUCAGCACUCCAGUCAAAUUGGAUCGAUCAAAUUUCAUGAUUUGGCGAAAGCAAGUUCUUACUACAAUAAGAGGAAAUCGUCUUGAAGAUUUUAUUUCUGGAAAUCAAAUCAUACCAGAACAAUACAUUUCUAAUACAGUAGCUGAUGGAUCAGUACAGAGAAUCACGAAUCCAGCUUACAUCAACUGGCGAGCUCAGGAUCAAACUUUGCUUGGCUGGAUUUUGUCAUCCAUAAGUGAAGGUAUCUUAAAUACUGUUCUUAAUUGCGAAAAUUCAUUUGAAGCAUGGAGAUCAAUUGAAAAACAAUUUGGAGUACAAUCUGAGGCUAGAGUAUUGCAAUUGAGGUAUGAAAUGAAUGUCCUUAGAAAAGAGAAUAUGUCUGUUGAGGAGUACUGUUUAAAAGUAAAAGCUGUUGCUGAUAAGCUUGCUUGUGCUGGUAGCCCUGUGUCUGAGAAAGAUCUGCUAAUGCAAAUUUUGAAUGGCCUAGGACCUGGAUUUCUAGAUCUUGCUUCAAUAAUUACUGCUAAUAGAAUGUCGUAUGAUGAUGCUUAUGCAUUACUCUUAACACAUGAGGCAAGAAUGGAACAAAAUCAUAAUACUAAAGAUCUUUUUAGUGCAAACUAUGGGAUGAUGAAUGCUAACUACUCUCAGUUUAGAGGAAAUAAUAAGAGAGGUGGUUAUAGUGGAUAUCAAGGGCAAUUUAAUGCUGGAAAUAGGAAUCAAAAUGGAGGAAGAGGAAUGUUUUUCAAUUCAUUCUCAAGAGGUUUUCCAGCUGGUGGAUAUACUGGUAAUGCUGGUGGCAGAGGACAGCAAAUGAAUGCAUAUGCUUAUAAACCUGUGCUUAACAACAGGCAUAAUUUCAAUAUGAAUCAUGGCUCAACUUCAAUGUCCAAUGGAAAUGGAUCUGAUGAUAAUGUGCUUAUCUGUCAAAUCUGUCAUAAAGCUGGACAUGCAGCUGAUGUUUGUUGGCACAGACACUUUGAUGGCUAUGCUCCUCAACCCAGACAAUUUGGAAGGGGCAGAGGGCAUAAGUCUGCUUAUAUGGCUAACUUUGAUCCACAAAUUGGCUUUACUUCACAAUUUGAAGAUUCGUUUGCUACAGAAUAUCCUGGUUAUCAUGGGUACCAUCCACCUGAUAUGAAUGCAUCAGUUGCAUCAGUAAGUCAUCACUCAUCUGAUAUGCAUUCUGUACCUGGAGCAGCUUAUAUUGCAAAUUUUGAAGGACCAGCUGAUGAAGGGUGGUAUCUUGAUAGUGGAGCUACGCAUCACAUCACUAACAACAUGGCCAAUAUGCAUAUCAGAGAUCAAUUCAGUGGAGCAGAUCAGCUCAUUAUUGGAAAUGGACAAGGUUUGCCCAUAACUCAUGUUGGUGAUGCAUCCUUUCUCUUUAAAAGUUCCAAUUCUACACACAAACACUCACCUAUAGUACUUAAAGAUAUUCUGUUGGUGCCUUCCAUUACCAAAAAUUUGUUAAGUAUCUCGAAGCUUACCACUGAUAACAACUUGUCUGUUGAAUUUCUUGGAAAUGUUUGUUUUGUGAAGGAUUCUCUGAGGGGACAGGUACUUCUGCAGGGUCUUGCUGAGAAAGGGUUAUACAGGCUGUUAUUGAAAUCAUCAUCAUCCUCUCAGUUAUCAUCAUCUUUUCUUUCUCACAUGUGUUCCAAUAAACCUUUGUCUAUGCUUUCUUGUUGUUGUUUCAAUUCUGUUCCUUCUGGAGUUGUUACAGAAUCUCAGAAAUCAUGUAAUCAAACUGAUGAUUCAUCUUGUAAAACUUCAGUUAAUAAAGCUAUUUUGCUUCAUAGAAAGUUUGGUCAUCCCAAUCAUCAAAUAUUAACUCAUAUACUCAAAACAGCAAAAUCUAUUCAUUUACCUGCAUAUCAAAAGCAACAAAUGCAUCAGCACAUCUGUGAGGCCUGUCAAAUGGGCAAAACACAUAAACUUCAUUUUCCUAUUACUGAAACCAAAACCUCCAAAACUCUAGAACUUAUACACACUGAUUUAUGGGGUCCUUCUCCCAUUAUUUCUAGAGAUGGUUAUCAGUAUUAUAUAAGUUUUGUAGAUGACUACAGCAGGUAUACAUGGAUUUAUCAUUUGAAGCUAAAGUCUGAGGCAUUAGAAGUCUUUAAGCUCUUUAAACUGCAGGUUGAAAAUCAGUUUAGCACAACCAUUAAGAUGAUGCAAUCUGAUUGGUGGGGAGAGUAUAGACCAUUCACUGAGUUUUUAAGCCAAUUUGGUAUCAUCUUUAGACAUCCUUGUCCUUAUACUCAUCAUCAAAAUGGGUUAGUUGAAAGGAAGCAUAGACAUAUUGUUGAAUUGGGUCUGACUCUCUUAGCUCAAGCUCAACUUCCCUUUAAGUUCUGGUGGGAUGCAUUUCAUACUGCUGUAUAUCACAUCAACAGACUUCCAUCUCCUGUUUUGCACCUUUUAACCCCAUAUGAAAAGACAUUCAAACACAAACCUGAUUAUGAUUUUCUCAGAUGUUUUGGGUGUUCUUGUUAUCCUUACUUGAGAGAUUACAAUAAACAUAAAUUUGCCUACCAUUCUAGUAAGUGCAUAUUCAUUGGUUACAGUCCUUCACAUAAGGGCUACAAAUGUUUACACCCUUCAGGUCGAGUCUAUGUGGCAAGACAUGUUACCUUUGAUGAAUCAGUUUUUCCUUAUGCCACUGAGUUUGUUUUUCAUAGUCAUGCUAAAACUGAUUCUCAAAUUUCUCAUUCCCAUACACCACAGCAAAUCCAUCAUAUCUCUUCUUUGCCUGUCAAUAACAGCACUGGUAAUCUGAACUCUGUAAGAUCUGGAAGCAGCAGUUCAAGUCACUCAGAUCAUCUAGAACAGACAGCAACUGAUCAGAAUUCACAACAAGCUACCAUAAAUGACAGGUCACCUUUUCAUACAUGUCCAACAAUUGUUGAAUCUAUACAAAAUAUUCCAGAACCUCCACAUCACUCUUUGCCUAUACAAAGUCACCAUCCUAGCAACACCUCUUUCUAUCCAUAUACACAACCAAAUACACAUCAGAUGAUAACCAGAAGUAAAGCAGGGAUUUUCAAACCCAAAAUUUAUACUGCUGUGCUUACUCACAAGGAACCAGAUACUGUGCAAGAAGCAUUAAAUGAUUCAAAGUGGCUACAAGCUAUGAGGGAGGAAUAUGAUGCCUUGAUUAAGAAUAAUACAUGGACAUUGGUUCCAAGACAAGCUGAUCAGCAUGUGGUUGGAAAUAAAUGGGUGUAUAGAAUCAAAUAUAAUACAGAUGGAAGUAUAGCUAAGUAUAAAGCUAGACUUGUUGCAAAGGGUUUUCAGCAAGUGGCAGGGAUUAACUAUUUUGAGACAUUUAGUCCAGUUGUGAAGUCAGCUACAGUUAGAGUAAUACUUAGCUUGGCAGUGAUGAAUCAGUGGAGAAUAAGGCAAGUGGAUGUCAAUAAUGCCUUUUUGAAUGGAGAGCUAACAGAAGAAGUUUUCAUGUCUCAACCUGAUGGCUUUAUUGAUGCUCAGAGAUCUGAUUUUGUAUGCAAAUUACACAAGUCUCUGUAUGGGCUCAAGCAAGCUCCUAGAGCCUGGUAUGACAAGCUUAAAGGAUGCUUAAUAAGCUGGGGUUUCACUACUACUAGUUCUGACACCUCAUUGUUUGUUAGGAAGAUCAAGACAUCUAUGAUCAUAGUUCUUAUAUAUGUUGAUGACAUACUGAUCACAGGUCCAAACACUGAGGAGCUGGAAGGUUUCAUAACUGAAUUCAGCAAAACUUUUGCUCUAAAGGAUCUGGGAGUGUUAUCUUAUUUCCUUGGAAUUGAGGUAUUAUAUGAUGCAGAUUGUAUGUACUUGUCACAGAGAAAGUAUAUCAGAGAUUUGUUAUCGAAGGUAGAAAUGACUGAAUGUAAGGGCAUUGAUACACCCAUGAGUACUGGCUCUAAACUGCAAAAGAUAGUUCAGGGGGAACUUGGAUACUAUCUUGAAGAUCCAACUCAUUAUAGAAGCAUAGUUGGAGGAAUGCAGUACCUGAUACUUACCAGACCUGAGAUUGCGUUUGCUGUAAACAAGCUCAGUCAGUAUGUAGCUGCACCAACACUACAACAUCUAAUGGCAUGCAAGAGAGUUCUAAGAUAUCUGAAGGCAACUCAAGAUUAUGGUUUAAAAUUUUUCAGAGAAGGAAGCUUAACACUCACUAGUUUUACUGAUGCAGAUUGGGCAUGUGACUUAGAUGAUAGGAAAUCAGUUGGUGCUUAUUGCAUUUAUUUAGGCAAUAAUUUGAUAUCCUGGUCUUCUAAGAAACAAUCAGUGAUAACCAGAUCAAGUGCCGAGAGUGAGUAUAGAGCUUUGGCAUCAGUGAGUGCAGAGCUGACAUGGUUACAAUCCUUAUUUUCUGAGUUGGGAUUAAGUUGCAUAGAAAAGCCAAUCAUAUGGUGUGACAACAUUAGUGCCACUGAACUAGCAAAGAAUCUUGUGUAUCAUUCAAGAACAAAGCAUAUCGAAAUUGAUAUGCACUUCAUUAGGAAUAAGGUUCUUGCUGGUGAGUUGAUUAUUCACUAUGUACCAAGUGAAGAACAGAUUGCAGACAUAAUGACCAAGCCUCUCUCAUUUGUAAGGUUUAACUACUUGAGGUCCAAACUCAAUGUCCAUCUUUGUCCUCUGAGUUUGAGGGGGGCUGUUAGAGCAGCUCAUUAUGCUGAACAGAAGAAGGUGAAGACUAAGAUGAAGAAAAUACAGAGCAAGUUACAGGGCAAGUGUGUCAGCAGUGCCAGCUCAGCUAACAGCUCAGCAGAUUAGUUAAAGAUGGUUGUAAGCAUGAUGUGCAUUGUACUGAAGUUAGUUAGCUUUGAUUACAGUUAGUCUUUGGAUUAGUUAAAUGAAGUUACCGUGAUUGCAUUGUAUAUAAACAGGUGAUGCUUUGUAAUCAAAAGUUAAGCAAAAUAAAAAUCAAAGUUUGUUAAGGAAAUAUCUCCAGAAUUAUCAAUUCAUUUUCUUAGUAACCAAACAACUUUAUUUCAUUUUUCUUUCACUGAUCAUAAAGUGCUGCCGACAUUCAAACCAGUCGUUCCCAAUAACCUUGGUAGAGUCGAAUGAUGCAUCUCCUAUUGAUAUAUCAAACCUUUCCAGCUUUUUGGAAAAAAAGCCAUCCGGUAAAAUGCUAUCGUUUUUAACAUCUAUUUCUAAAGUGGUCAAUCGCCUCAAAUGCAUCAAUUCGUCGAGGGUGGCAUUACUUCUUUCACUAUUGGCUUUUUCAACUUCCCAUUCAACAGGGGAAUUACCCAUAUACAGUUCUUCCAAUCGAGUGAAGCUUGAUAAGAUGUUGGGCAAAAUAAAUUUUAGUUGCAAACAAUCUCUUAAAUCUAGCAGCCUUAACUUAGUCAGUUGACCUAGUUCGUAAGGCAACCGUACAAUAUCAGACCUUAAAAAGCUAAGGAUUUCUAGAUUCUUCAACUUCCCAAUUAUGGCUAUGUCUCCCAACAUGCUUUGUACUAGACACAGUGUUUGAAGAUUUGCUAGAAGAUCGAUUGAAGAUGGCAAUGAAAAUAAUCGCAUUCCUGUCAAAUCCACAACUCGAAGCUUUUUCAUCCCUUUGAAAAAGUUCUCAGGGAUAUUGAGCUCGACAAAAGAGUCUUUGGGAUGAAUAAGUAAAAAUUCAAGUUGCGGACAUUCCAAUUCCUUAGAAACUUCAUGAAUGCUACUAUACAGUAAAGAGAUUGCAGAGCAUUUUUUAAGUGCAUCCUCAUCUGGCCACUCCCACACAACCUCACUUCUCACCAAGAAAACAUGUUGUUCUCGACAUGCAAUUGAAAUGGCAACAUCGCAGACAACAUCAUGCAUAGAAAAUUGUUCAUUACUAUCACCCUCAAGCAAAAAACAACAAUCUCUAAGUUCAUGGAGCAAUGCAUAUAAUUUGUUUCGUGCAUCUACCAUCCUGUUGACUCCUUGAAAUAUGCCCAAACCCAUAGAGUACCUAAACAAGUCUAGAAACCAAAAACUGUUACCUAUUAGACUACAGAGAAGAAAAUUUUUCUUGAGUUGCUCACCUUUUAAAUACUUGAAACUCAGCUCAAUACUUGAAUAAGUCUCUGCAGGCACACCUUCGAAGUUUACCAUUGAAGGCGUUUGGAGUUCUCGCAAGGCAUUCUUCCAUUCAUGCAGAGUCUUGUUUCUCAGUGCCCUUGCCACUGUAGUCAAGGCAAUGGGCAAACCUCCACAUGCCUGGGCUACAUUAAUUGCUAUAGACUUGAACUUACAAUUGUCAACAUCAUCACCAAUCAUUAUCUUAAACAAUCUCCAAGCUUCUUCUUCAUUUAGAUUGCCAAUCAAAAAGUUAUCUUUGGAGCCCAUACUUAAUAGUACAUUAUUAUCUCUUGCUGUGAGCAAUAGUCUACAUCCUUUAUGAUCAUUUCCAAAAGGAAUUCCAAUCGUCUCCAAAUCAAGAUGUUUCCAGAUAUUAUCUAGAAUCACAAGAAUCUUAUUCUCAUUCUUCAAUCGUUCAUACAGCCUGCUGGCUCUUCUAUAUUCAGCUUCAUCGGACAACUCCAGACCUAACUUCUCUGCAAUUUCCCCUUGUAUCUUUUUUAUGUCUGGAGUUUGUGAAACCUCUGAAAAAACCACACGAUCAAACAGCUUCUUUUCCCUGGCUUGCCUAGCAAACUCCUUCACCAGUGUCGUCUUUCCAAUGCCGCCCAUGCCGUACACCCCAAUAAUGCUGACGUUCACAUCAGUCAACACAUUUUGUAUAGACUUCAAAGUAGAAACUCUUGAUUCGAAGGCCUCGUAACCUUUGUUAGACUUAAGCCAUAUCUCCUCCGGAAUGGCACGGUGGGAAACGAUAUCAAACUUCUUAACUUCUUCUCCAAGUUCAACAAGGGCCUUCACCUCUGUCUCUGCUUUCUUGCUAAGCUGAUAGCGGGUCUUCAAAUUAGGACACAAGCCCUUGAGACAGCGCUUAUUUGUUGACUCUUCAUCUUCAACGAAUUUGGCUGCCCGGUCAAUGAUGCCGUUAGCACUAACCAGCCACUUCUCAACCUUCUCUUCAAUCUCUUCCCCUUUUUCUUUCGCCUCUGAAACUCUGCGCUGAAUGCUCGUACGUUCAACCUUCAACUUCUCCAUUUCCGCCUUGAGAUUCUCAAGGUUGGCAUUGUAGUUCCGCUUGCGCAAAUAAACAAGUUGGCGUUCUGUUGGAGGAGCCAAGCAUUUUACAAGUUCCAAAAUGAGAGUAACAAUGAUUUCCAGCAUCUUGAAUCCUGACAACAAUGUAGAAAUGAAGAAGGCCAAAGGACAGUAAGAACAGAGAGACAACGAUACGACAAGCAGUUAUGGAGCUAAAAAUAAAUAACAAACAAACAGAAGCAAAGUGUUUUUCGAAUGAGAAGAAGGAAGCAAGAAAAGGGUUUCUAUUUAGAUUAAGAAUGAAUGUAAAGAAGUGACAAAGAUGUCACAUAAUGUAAUUAAGUACUGAAUCCAAAUCCUAUCCUAAAUGGUUAGAUAAAAAUAAGGGAAUGAAAAGAGUAAUGGUAGAUUAAUUUAUGAGGCCAAUUAACGAAACGACAGAUCUGGUUUCCAUGUUUGUAAUUUAAGUGUAUGAGUACGAGGUGAACCAACUCUUUGUCGAGUCAAGCAAUUAGAAGGAGAAAUUACUAAAACAAGAACCAGCAACUUUUACUCACACAAGAGCUAAUAAUGUAUUGAGAUUGUGCAGAGUAAUACAAAACCUUAAAACUAGUAUAAUAAAUUUGUCAUCAAGUUUUAGCCUUCUUCUUCAACCAAUUACAGCACUAUCUUGAGCUCUGAGUUUCUUUUUUUAAAAUUUUUCAAAAGAUCUUUGUCAUUAGUUUUUCAAUGAUAAAAAUUAUAUUUUUAUCUCAUAAAAUAUAAAAUUUUAAAAAAAUCAAACAUAUAUUAUAGGUUUGUUUGAGAUUAUUUUUAAAGGCUCAAAAGUCACUUUUUAAAGUUAAAUGUUAAUUUUGGUAUUUGGUAAAAUUUUUAGAAAUCACCUUUGGUAAAAUCACUUAUCCCACAACAAAUUUCGGAAAGCAAAAAAGGAAUAGUUUGUCAAAAUCUAAUUUUGAUAACCAGUUUUAUACUUAAUAUAAUUCUAUAUACAACCUUAUAUAUAUUAUAAAAAAAAAAUAUCCUUAUUAUUUAGGAAAUAAAAUUAUUAAUUUUAAAGAUAUUUUAACAAUUACAUUGAGAUAACAAAAUAAAAAUAAAAUUAAUAAUAUAAAAUAUCUAUUUCUGUUAUCAAUUAUUAUAUAUACAAGAUAAAAAAAAUAUGUUAUAUACAUGUUUAUAAAUGUAUAAAUAAAUUUUAUCUAACAUUAUGUUCAAUUAAGUCAUUUACAUUAAUAGCACUUUUACAAGUAAAUUUUCCUAAAUGUUUAACUGAUUAUCUUCACAGUGAUUAUUUCCACAACAUAACUACCAGAAAUUAUUGUAAAAGAUACAACAUUACCAAAAAAAUAUUGAGGUACAUUUUAAUUAAGUAAUUGACUUAAUUAUGAAUCAAUUUAUUAUUUUCAUCUGUGUUAUCUAAACCAGCUCAUUAAUGAGAUCACUCUUUUUCUUAAAUAAAAUAUUCCUGCCAAACAAUUGUUGCAAAAUUUCAAAUAUAAAUUACAAACAGCAAAAUUUUCUAAAGUCAUAACAAUUAUUUAUGUUUUGAAGGGUCCAGCUAGCUUGCAACCGUGAUUUGGUACCCCAUUUUUUGUCUUUUUGUGAUCCAACCAUUAGAUCCAACCCAAAAGUUGUAAAAGCUAUUCCAACGGCAAGGAUGCAAUUACUUAGUUAUUAACGCUGAAGCCCCUCUUGUUUCAUAAAAAAAAGAAAAGGUUAAAUUUCAAGAUUUUGACACAUAAGUCCAUCAAAAUAUUUUAUGAUUUUUAUAUGAGUCCAGGUAAUUUAAUAAAUGAAUAUAUUUAGAUAUACAAAAAUAUGGAUGGAUUAUUUUAACUUGCUAAAAUACUCCCCACAUCCAUUUAUUUAAAAUAUCAAUUACAAAAAAUCCCAUUUUUUAGUAUAAUUUUUUUAAAAAUAAAAUACCCAUUUAAUGUUUUACCAUUUAAGAUAGUGUUACUUAUAAGGAUAAAUAAUUAUUUUAACUAAAUAAAUGAAACUUAACUUUUAUUUCUAUAAAUUUGCUCAACAUCAUAUAACCUUAUAAUUGUUAGCAUAAGAUAUAAAUUUAGUCUAAAAAAUUUAUUCAAAGGGUCCCCUUAGGGCAAAAAAUUAAUUAUCAUAUGAUAAUUUGGUUGGCACAAACUCUAUUAUUCUUAAUUUACUUAUCCAUGCCAAACACUAUAUUGGAAUUAAAUUUUAGUAAAAUAAACAUAUGUCAACAUCUUUAACCGCAUUCAACUGACCCUAAUUGUUUAGAUUUUGUUAUAGAGAGCAAGAUAUAGUUCUUUUCUUAUUAUAGUAGUAAAAAUAAAUAAAAAUAAACACAAUAGAUUUCUUUUAAGAGAAUGCAAGCAUUAUUUUUAUGAGAUUUUGUGUUCAAGAAAUUAAUCUAAUUAUGUGGUUAGAAGACUCUCUAUUUUGUGAUAUUUUAGAAGAAUUAUAUGUUGGAUAAAUGAAUAAAUUAAGAUCAAAGCAAAACAAAAAUGAUUGAGAAGAAAACCGAGAGAGAAUAAUUUUUUAAAUUUUAAAAUUUUCAUUUUUUAAUUGGGGUUUAUUUUGUAAAAUUAUUGCAAUUUAUAGUUUUUAAUAUUACCAAAAACAGUAGAGAUUGCUAAAGAAAAUGCCAAACAAAUUUUUUAGAAUUAUAAAAUUAUUAUAUUUUAAUUAGGGCUUGUUGUGUAAAAUUUUUAAAAUUUAUAGUUUUUAUUAUUUACCAAAAACAAUGAGGAUUGUUAAAGAAAAUGUCAAAAUUGGGUGUUUGGUAUAACGGAGGCAAAGUAGUUUCGUCCUGUUUUGAAUACAUGUAACUAAACCACAUUGAAAGUUGUCAAAACAGGAGGACCUAAUGUUAGUAAAAUUAUUUUUCAAGCAAAUGCAGUGACGAAUUUGGUUUCAUGUUUCACCCUCGAUAACUUAAUUUUCAUAUCUAACAAAUCAUCCAUAUUAUUAACAAUAUCAUCACCAACCAUAAUCUACCUAAACAUAAACUAAACAUAACACAUACAUAUAACUAUAUACAUACCGAAUCAGGAAAACAAUGAGAGCUACACGUAUCCGGCUCCACAAUUCCUUGUUGAUACCCUUGUGCUUCUAAAAUUAUCAACCAAUUAUAAAAAUUAGCUUAGGCGCAACUUUACCCCUUUUUUUUGGAAAACUUAACUAUAAAUAAAGUAUACAAAUCUCUAAAUUAACUUUUUUCCCAUGAAAUUCAGCAUAAAUAGAAAUAGAAUUAUAGAAAUCUUACUUCCUUUUAUGAGAAAUCCAACUUAUAUAUUUGAGACCUCUCUCUCUAAGCACGCGCUUCCUCUCUCUGUAUACUUUCCACCUUUAAAUUCUCCUCAUUAAAUCUGUCUAAAUGAAUUUAGCAGUCUCCCAGUUUCUUUAGCAUUUUUCUCCGUGAAAAUAAGUGAAAAGCGAAAGUGAUUUGAUUAUUUUAAUGUAUGACAGAUCUGGUUUCCCAUCUCCGUAAUUUAAGUGUAUCAAAUUGUCGAGUCAGUCAAAUAUAAAAGACAAAUUACUAAACCAAGCAGAGCCAAAAAAAAAAAAAAAUUCCAAUUAAAUAAUCAUCAAGUCUUUUUCAAUUAAAAUAGGGAGUGCAGAACAACUGUCGAGAGAUAAUCAUUGUUUAUGGAGCCAUAUUAUAUUUUCGAUUAAAAUAUUUGCGCGUGAACAAUUGGCAGAAUUCGUAUAAAUUGUUGUAAGGUCUAUUAUAAUUAACAAGCGGAAUGGCCAAUGGAUGAAGAACCACUGUAAUUUCGUUUAUGAAUUUAAAAUGCUAAAGAAACUGGACAUCAACGCUAAAUGUUAGCCUGCGGUCCUUGCCUCAGUUUCUUUCAGGCGUUACUCUGGGUAGUUGAUAUACUGACCGUCCCUUUAUCAAUUAAUAAUCGAAAUAGGUUAAAAUAUGAAUGGAUUGGAAUGGUAUGACUUGGAAAUGGGAUGACAAUCAGAUUAAUUUAUUCAUUUAAACUGAGAAAUUAGAAUCAAAAUAAAUUAUAUUGUUAUUGAUAUAUUUACUUUAUCUUAAAAUUAUGAUAAGUUGUUACGAGUUAUUAAUAUGCCUUAUUUUUUAUUAUAAUAAUUAUUAUUUAUUAUAACAUUUUUCAUAUAAUAAUAAUAAUAAUAAUAAUAAUAAUUAAUAUUGAAAAAAUUUUAUUGUUAAUAAUAAAGUAUCAUUAGAGUACUAGACAAGCUCACCACGUCUAAGCUAAGUGAAGAAAUAGACUUCAUCAACAAAGCUUUUGUGAAUAUGCGUUACAUUACAACUGCGAUAUCCUUUCACUGUAUAUUCAUACAGUGGCAGGCCAUGUGACAUUGUGACCCAUGUGCUAGCUUUCACUAGUCAUAUUAUUUUUUUACACGGUGUUUAACAAAAUCUUCACGUAAAGAUUUCAGACGCGUGAUCCUAAUUCAAUAUGCAUUAUUUAUUUAUUUAUAAAAUGAAAAUAAAAAGAUAAAAGGAUGUGACUUAACUUGCUAUCAGUGCGGAUCCAGGACUUAAUAUUAUUUCGGGUUAAAUUUUAAAAUUUAUAUUUUGAAGUGAACAUAAAAAUUUAUAAAUAAAAAGAAGUAUAUUAAAUGAGGGGAGACAUGGAGAGCUUUAUCCCUAUGAAUAUGUAUUAUAAACAAAAAUAAUUAUAAGAAAAGAAUAGAAACCAAAAGGCAAUUCAAAUAUCAAAACACUAUUUUUCAAUUAUGAAAUCCGACAUUGCAACCUAAUAACAUGUAAUUAUAUAAGGAUUAAUAAAUCAAUUAAGAAUUUCAAACUAAAUUAGAUCAGUACAUGUAAUUAAAAUUAAUUAAAGAUUUCAAGUAAAACUUUUAUGUUUGAAGUCAAGUACUAAAUUACCAAGCUUAAAUAAAUUUAAAAAAUUAAAAUUCAUUCAUUCUUUCGAAUUAUAAAAGUAUCAUUAGUCAAAAGUUUUAGUAAUAAACUAAACUCAAUUCAACAAAAAGUUAUUUGGAUAUCGUUGUUUCAUUGCCAGUGCACUGACUUUCUUUAUAGAAGUAUAUGUUAAUGAUUCUUCUAUUAAAGCUCUUCAAAAUACCUAAAUUUUAUUUUCUAACUUCUUCUCGUAGUUAAUGUAACUAAUAAAUAGAAUCUGAAAAUUCACAUAAAAUAUUUAUGAAAAUGUUGAUAAUUGUUACUAUAUGUUGUUUUCGUAAGUACUUUUAAUGCUAGUAACGAUGUUAUAUUACAUUGAUUUAUAUUUUUUUCAAUUAGAAGUUUUUUAAAAUAAAUUAAAGCAAUAAUAAUAUUUUAGCUCCCUAAUGUUUUCAAUCUAUCCAAUAAGUAUAUAAUUUAAUCAUUUUAUAAAAUAAGUCACUAAUUUCAAUUGGAAAUAAUACAAUUGAAUUAGGGACAUAUUUGAAUAUAAAAUAAUAGCUCAAUUGUUAUACUAAAUUGAUGAAAAUAUAAGGGUAAUUGAGUUAGGAAAAUAUUUGAAUAUAAAGUAAAAACUUUAUUGUUAAACUAAAUUGAUGAAAACAUAAGAAUACUUGAGUUAGGGACAUAUAUGAAAACAAAAUAACAACUCUAUUAUUAUAAAAAAUUUAUAAGAAAACAAGGUGUAUAAAUGAUUUUUUCUGUUCUAGACCAAGCUACAGCCUAGUCUAGCCAGCUGUAGGUCUCCCACUACUUGCUAUUUACAUACAGACAUGUGGCCCUUAUUCUAAUAUCUAUAGGAAAAGACACCUAUACUCCAAGAUUUGAAGAAAGAUUUGAAGAAAUAGUCACGUAGAUCUCUAAGUUUUCAGUAACCACAAUUUCUCUUUGACUAUAAUAUUUUUUGUACUUAGAAAAAAAAAUGACUUUAGAUUUUUUUAAUAAAUAUAAAUAUAAGUUAAAUAGUUUAAUUUGUCUAAUAGACUAAUAAUAUUAGAAUAUUUUUAAUAUAUAAAAUAAUUUUUAAAUAAAAAAUAUUAUAUUUAUUUUAAUAAUAUAUUUUUAUUUAUCAUAAAAAUAUUAAAUAAAUCUUUGGGGUUAAAUAGAAUUUAAAAUUAAUAAAACACAUCUCAUUAAUAAAAUAUAUCUCAUGUACUAAUAAUAUUGAAAUUAUUUUAAUAUAAAAUUUAUUUUAAAAUAAAAAUAAAUUUAGAAUAUUGAAAAAUUUUAUAAAAUUUAUUUUAAUAUUAUGUUCUUAUUUAUUAUAAAAUUUAGUCUAAUAUAAUGUAAGAUUGUAAAGUAUAAAAAUAUUUUCCUAAAUUGAAGUUGUUUUAAAAUGUUAAUAUUUUAUGUUUAUUUCAAUAUUAUAUUUCUAUUUAUUAUAAAUCAUAGGAGUCAAUUUUUUUCAGUUAAUAGAAUCAAAGGGUAUUAUAGUCAAAAGAGGUAUUGGUAUUCCUUAUUAAAAAUUUAGGCGUCUACAUGACUAUUUCCCAAACCUUAGGGUGUAACUUUCUUUUCUCCAAAAUUUAUGAUUCUCUGUAGGUAUUUCAUGAAGGAAAACGAUAUUUACACUGAAUCAAAUCCCGAACUAAUUAAAAUGCACUAUUUCAGCUUAAAUAAUGGUAAAUAUUUGUUUAGUCUCUAUAUUUUGAAUUAAGUACCGUUUAGUCCCUCAAGACACCUUUUUCAGUAAGCACAAUAUAAUCCUACCCUUACUUUUUCUUUGAUUCUAUAAUAACAUGCUUGCAACAAUAUUUUUAGAUAUGUUAAUGUAAAGAAAAAUUUAAAUUUAUCAAAUCAGCCUUAAAAGAAAAAUACAAAUUAGUUGUUAUUAUUAUUAAUAAAAUAAUAAAAUAAUAAAAUAAUAAUAACAAUAAUUAACAUUAAUUAAAAUAAUAAAGUUAAUAUAUUAUAUAAAAAAUAAUAUUUACAUUUAUCAAUUUUUCAUGUGUUCAAAAUUUUUUAUGUGAUAUUACAUUAUUAUCUUUACACCAUCAAUCAUUUUUAUGAUCAAGUUAGGCUAAUGGAUCAAACUUUAAAAAAUUUAAAACAAUAGGAGUUAUAUAAAUAAAUAUUUAAAAAAUUUUGUUUUUAUGAUAUUAUAAUAAACGGUAGAGACUUAAGUGUUAAUAACCAAUUGAACACGUUGAACACUUUAGCUAUUAGAUCUGGCUAAAUUAGAAAAAGACAAAAUUUAGGGUACCGUGCAACUGUUGCAAGGUAGGCGGACCCGUUAUAUUUAAUAUAGAAUAAAUAAACUAAAUAUGUGUAAAGAAUCUAGGUUAGUAACCUUGCAAUACUUCAGAAAAUUAUAAAAUACAAAAGGUGAAAUUUCAAAAUAAGGAAUUGUAAAAAGUGUUAGGUUCUAAAAUUUUAUUAUUUUAAUAUUACAAAAAUUUACUUUUUUAUUACAUUUUUAUUUUUAAUAUUAGUUGACAUUUUAGUUUAUUUGUAUAUAAUAUAUGUUAAUUUACCUAUAAAAUACUAAUAUUACUCUUGAAAUUUAAAGAAGUCAUUUUAAUUUUUAAAAAUUUUAAAUGUAGCCCAACAAAGUCAUAGAAAUAUAAAUAAAGAAUAACAUAAAAGGAAGUUAAUUUAAUUUUUUUAAGAAUAUUUCAAAAGCAUUUGAGUUUUAUGUUUCUUGAGAAUUAUACCAUUUUUUUUUAGAUAUUUGAGCUUGUGAAACUUGUUGUAAUGAUAAUUUAUUAUUUAUUCUUGAUUAAAAAUAAUUGAAUAGUAAAUUUAUUGGCUUCUAAUUACUCUUUUAAAUGUAGGGUGGUUGCUUAAUUUUUAUUAUGUUUCCUUAAACUUUUUGAUGAUGGCUAAUCAACCAUUGCAAAAGACUCUACCUGAUUAUUGUUUCCUUAAACUUUUUGAUGAUGGCUAAUCAACCAUUGCAAAAGACUCUAGCAUGAUUAUUUUUACUUUCUCUACAUCCCUCUAGACCAUCAUCACUCAAAGAAUUAAGGGUUCACUUGGCAUACUGUAUUAUACUAUACUGUAUUGCAUUAUUUAAUAUGGGUAUAUUGUAUUAUGUUAUAUUACAUUAGUAAUAAAUUAUAAUAAUAUUUGUACAACAUUUGGUAAUUGGUAUUACAUUGUACUGCAUUAAUUUUAUAUUAAUAUUAAACUAACAUUAUUUAAAUUUAUUAUUAAUUAUAUUAAAUUAUUAUUUUUAUAUUAAUUAUUUUUAUAUAAAUAUAAUAUGAUAUAAUAAAAUAAUAUGAUAGUAUAAUUUACUUUUAUGUUUUUAUUUAUUAUAAUAAAAAUAAAAAUAUAUUUAAUGCUCAAUUAAGGUAAAAUAAUAAUAAUAACAAUAGUAUUACUUAAAAAAAAAUCUAUAAAGUUUAAUGAUGAUCAUGAUGUUGACGACAUUAAUAAUAACAUAACAAUUAAAAUAAUAAAACUAAUAAAUUUUAAUAAUGUUAAUAUUAAUAAAAUAAUAAUAACAAUAAUUAACAUUAAUUAAAAUAAUAAAGUUAAUAUAUUUUAAUAAUAGUAAUAAAAUUAAUAUUAAUGACAGUAAUAAAAUUAAUAAAUAAUAAUAUGACUUAAUUAAAAUAAUUAUAACAAUUAAAAUCAUAAAUUUUAACAAUAAUAAUAAUAAUAAUAAUAUUAUUAUUAUUAAUAUAAUAAUAAUGACAUUAAUAAAUAAUACUAAUAAUAACAUUCAAAUUUUUUUUAAAGCUAUUUUAUCCCAAAAAAGGGACUUAUAUAUAAAAUUUUGUAAAUUCUAGUGUCUAUUCAAAAUUUUCAUAAAAUAUAAGAUAGUGCAGUGUAAUUAAUAAAAAAAAGACAAAAUGAUAUGCUGCAACCGUUGCAACAUAUUUUCAUCCUUGUUUGUGAUCCUUAAUCAAUAAAAUAUCUGACAAUAUCUUCGCCAAAAGUUUAAGACAUGUGAUCCUUAUUCCACAGCGUCAAUGAAACUCCAGUCAAAUGCUGCCAUCAUUAUUGAACAGUCGAUAUCCAGCACGUGCACGAAGAUUCCAAGAAGUUGCAUGGCUAUCGACUUUUAGAUGCUAAGCCUCAUUGCGUUGAUGAUACACAAAACAGACGGUCAAGGUAAUUGCCAAAACUUAGAACUAAACAGUAGCUUAGUCAGAAAAUCAAACGCCAGUACCGGUAAAAUGACCGAUAAAAAUAUAAGGACAUAAAAAUUUUAAAGUUUUACUUUAUUGCUUUUUUAAUCUUAUUACUAUUUCUCCUUGCACUUCUAAAGAAACCAAAGCUUUAAAAGAAAUCAGCCAAAUCACAAAGAUUGAAGAGUAAAUCUAUGGUUUUAAAUUUUUAUUUUAUUUUUUUAGAUAAUAGAUAUUAUUUUGAUGAAUUUUUUAAUAUUAGAAUAAUGUUAGGAAUUCUAACAGUAGAAUUCUAACUUGGAACCCAAUUGAUAUGUGUCAUUUUUUCAUUGGAUAAUGAAUUUCAUCACUAGUAAAAUUAAUAUUUGGAUCAUCUAAUAAAUGACUACCAUAUCAAUUGGGACUCAAUUAUUGGGAUCCUUAAAAUUGCUCUUAGUAUUAUAUUGGACAUCUUAGCUAAAUCAAAUUAAAAAUUAAAUUAGAUUUUAGGCUUUAUUCAACAUCUCUUUUUGUCUUUUUUUUGGUCUAUUUGAAGUGAACGAAAUAAAAAUACAAUAGGGUCAACGACUGGGCAAUUGAUAGUCAAGUAGAAGCAAAUCAAGGCUAAAUGGGAAAGAGAAAUUAUAUUAGUGCAAAACAAGGAGAAAAACAGUGUAACAGAAGAGAAUCAAAGUGCUUUUGAGAUCAGAAAUUGAAACAAGAAAAGGGUCGCUUGAUCCAAUGAAAAUGCAAAGAGCUGACGGCAAAAGGGAAUAAAGUUAAAUAAGAAAAUAGCUAGCGCUAGCAGCAACCACAAUAAACAGAAAAUUUGAGAUGGAUUUACAAUAUUUCUGCCUUUCUUCAUGCUUUAACAAAUAUUGCUUUAUAAAAAAAAAGAAAUUGAGCGUUUUUAUUAUUGGAGUCACAAAAGACCUACACAAUAUAGCAAGUGACUGGGAAUAAAUAAAAAUAUAUAACUGAUAAGUGCAUAUUUUCCAUAUAUUUUGUUAUUAAUUUCUCCAUCUUUUUCUUGAUUUGAUCUUAAAUAUUCUAGUUAUUUUAGUUAAUUUUUAAUUAAUUGUAUUAUUUUAUUGAAUAGGGAAUUAAUUGGAGAUUGUGGAUAAAAAGGGCAUGAAGAAAUUCAAAUUGAGAAGGAAUAAGGAUUAAAUUGGAAAAGGAUUUCAAUUAGAAUGGAAAAAGGAUUUCUUUAUUCUUGUUGGAGAAGAAUUCGGUCAACUAGCUUUAUAAAAGGGGAGCUGCUGGAUGAAAAAAAAGGAGGAGAAUAUUCGGCAGCCAAGAGGAUUUGAGGAACUAGCAGCCGAAAGAAGGAAAAGCAAGGGAGAAACCGAAAAGGAAUUGAAGAAAAAGGCAGCUGCUUGAAUUAAUCUCCAUGAUUGGUUUUGUCAAUUCUCUUAUUUCCAAUUCAAUUAUGUUAGGCUAGAUUUUUAUUUGGUUGAGGGUGAAUUCAAAACCCUAAACAUGCUAUGCAAUUAAAUUUAAAUUCUAUCAUUUAAUUUAUUUAAUUGAGAUUGUUUAUGUUCUUCUAUAAUUAAUGUUCAUGGUUUGUUCUUGUUUUAUUUGAGUGGCCAAUUAGAUAGGACUUGAAUAAAUUUUAUUGCUAGAUUAAAAUUCUUGAUCCGUAAUUAUCUUGAUAUUUUAAUUAUUAGUAACAUGUUGGAAUUAGUGAUUUCAAUUAAAGAACAUAACCUAGGUUAAAUAAUCCGAGCUUGUGUGUUUAUUGCCUAGAUCAACCUAAUAUCUUUCUCUGUUUAAUGCUUCCAUUAUCUUAAAUUUAAAGAGCUUGUUUUAAAUUAUUUAAUGGUUAGAGAUUAGGUGAAGAGCUUAUUUUGCCUAACGACACACUAAGGAAAGAUUGAGACUAACAGAGCUUAUUGUUGUCUACGGUUGAUAGUUUUAAUAUAAAUUAAUGAUAGAAUUGAUAUAUUAUGUGCAUGUUUGGUGGUGGCGAAUGAUCCUUUAACCAAAGUUUUCAUCAUUAAUAUUUCUUUCUCCUUUAAUUAGAGUUUUUAUUAAAUUCUUGUUCGUAGUUUUAAUUUCUUUACUUCUUACUAUUUAGUUAAAAAUUCAUAAACCCCCUCUUUUAUUUAUAAUUGGUAAUUUCCUUAGUUAGAUUAAUUUAUAUUAUUAUUACUACUAUUAUUUUAUUUUAAAUCUUGCUUUAGAGUUGAUAAUAAAUAUAACUACAUAGUCUUUGUGGGAUCGAUCCUUACUCGCUCUGUACUAAUUAUUUAUAUUAGUGGUAAGGUUAUAAAUUUGGUGCACCUUAACGACACUACCAAAUUUUUGUAACUCUCUCUCUAAUUCUCACUCUAGCUUUUAAUUGUCACUCAAAACCCAGAAUUCAUCCUUAAAGUGUAAGCAAAUCAGAGAUGACAACGUCUGGCUGUCAUACGUGCCUUUUAGUUUUCGGAUGACAUGGCGUACACUUCUUCUGUAAACCGAACACGACAUGUCGUACUCUUUGUUUUGAGAUCAUAUUUCAAACUCUUCAUGCUAUGAAUGAAAGAUAAACUACAAUCAUAAACAUAUUUAGUGUUUAUUUGGUAAUGUAACGUUAUAGUUGUUGUGAAUUGAAAUUAUUUCUGUAAAAUAAAAGGAAUAUUUAUAAUAGUAUAAAAGGAAUAUUAAUAGAGGAUGUAUUAAUAUAAAAUUUGUUUAUUGGUGUUGAAGUUAAUUAUCUCAUUAAUAAUACUAUAAAAAUUUUAAUUACUAAGAAACACAUAGCAGUAGUUAAUUGGUGUCAUAUUAUUGGGAUUCAGGGAUAUAAUUUUAUAUCAUAACUUUGUAAGUGUAUAAUUACUCAUUAAAUUAAGAAAAUUAUUUAAAAAUAUUUAGUUGGAAAAAAUAAAUUAUAUUCUUUUUAUUUCAAAUAAUCUAUAAGUUAACUCAAAACAUAAUCAAGCUGAGAAUUAAAAUAAUGCUACUAUAUGAGAGGAUUUUUAUUUUUUCCCGAAGUUUCACUAGGAAAUUAUUGAUAUAUAGCUUUAUUCGGAUCAUCUCAGUUCAAACAACAAAUAAUUGAAAGACUAAGCUAAAUAGACCAGCCAACAACUUUGUGCAAGAGAGUUCAAAAAUUAAGGUCAUGGUAUUGAGGUGUUCUGUCUUGAAAAGUACAGCAUAGUGAUAAAAUAAAAACUAUUAAUCUAUGGUAAGGUAUGACUUUUAAAUAAUAAUUUUCACAAAAAUACAAAGAAUAUUUAUAAAGUACUUCUAUAGUGAGGAGAUCCUUACUUUGUUAAAGUAAAAAUAUCAAUAAUAUAAAAAAACAUAUAUUUUAACACAUUAAGAACUGUAUUUUCUUAAUCUAUUGGUGUAUUGAAAUAUGUGUUAUUUAGUUUGUUAGUGACAUCAUCACUUUGUUAAAAUAAAGAUGUCGUCACUAGAGAAUCAUUAUAUAUACAUAUAUAUAAAGUGUUUCUCUCCAAAACCUAGACUUUAUUAAAAUUUAAGAAAGCAAAUAUAUUUUAUAUGGUAUAAUAGUGUAAUAACAUCACACAAUUAUAUCAUAUAGAGUAAUAGUUUUUGGAACUUUAAUAAAGUUCAAGAUUAUAGAAUGAAUGAUUUAUAUAUAUUAUAAUUUUUUUAUCAUAGAGUGGAGGACAAAAUUAACAUAUUUUCUAAAUUAUAAUAAGUAAUUAUCAAAUAAUUUAACAUUGUAUUUCUCCUAACUAGUAUAGUAAAUAUGACCUAGGAGGUACAUUCAAAGCAUUUCAUAAGUUAGUUGUUAAUAAUAAAUGAUACAUGCAGCUCCAAUCAUCAUUGUACGGUGAGUAAUUUCCAGUUAUAAAUAGAUAUUACUCCCUUCUCAGCAAUUUUUUAUGGCUUAAUUUAGUGGGAUCAAAUCAAAAUCAACAUUGAAUAGUCAAAAUAUUAAUGACCAAACAGACCCAGAUAGAAUAAUAUUAAAUGUAGUUAUCUCAAACAAGAUAGAAUAAUAAUUGAUAAGGUAGGUGUAUGAGUGUGUGUGAUGUGUACUCUUUAUGCCAUUGUGUAUAUAUAUAUAUUUGUUUUUUUUUUCUAUUUCGCGUGGUUCCACCAUGCAUAAUUGAAGGGCUUCAAAUUCUUAAACGUUCGGUCACCGAAAUUGAAAUCCCAAUGGAACAAGUAAUUAAGCAUGUUAAUUCAACAAGAUUCACUCCCUUUAUUACUUAAAAGUUAUUUUCGCUUUUGAUAUUGAUACUUAUUUUUACAUUUGCAUGCACUAGGGCAGACGCGAAGCUAAAGGUGGGCUAACCCAGGCAGCAGCCUCGGUUAGCUUUUUGAAAAAAAAUAAUUAAUUAUAAUUUAUAAAUUUAUUUUAUUAAUAUAUAUAAAAAAUAAAAAUAAAUCUAAUAUUUGAUAAUAUUUUUCUUAUUUACAUUGUAUUUUUAUAAUUUUAUGGUUAGAUUUUUAUGUAUAUAGUGUGCUUAAUUUCGUUUAUAUAAAACAAAUUUUUUGAAAAGUAAAUUUCAUUUUUUAAAAAAAUCUAGCCCACCCAAAAAAAUACGCUAGCUUCGCCACUGCACUAGGGACAUAUUAAUCAGGUGGGUUAUAUUACAACCAGAGGAUUUAAAUUUGAUUUAAGAUAUGUGGGGUCUGCUUUUGGAUUUAGAAAAUUUGCCCAUUAAGAGUUGAAACCAAGUGACCUACCGUUAGAUUAGAUUAAUAGUGAUUUCUUGUAGUAAACAUUUGUGAAUUUGAAAUAUGUGAAUUCUAUCCUGGUGAUACAAAACAAGCUUCUUGUACACGAGAACUAUUUGUUUUUAUGAUUUGGAAACCAAUCUAUAAAGAUGAAUUAAGUUGGCAUAAUGGUACAAAGCAACUUUAAUUUUUCAAUAAAUUCAAAAGUUGGCAGGUUGGUUGUGAUUAUUAUCUUUUCUUUUUUACUAUUUAAACUACAAUUAAUUGAAUCCAAAGACUAAAGGGUUGGAUCGAGAAGAAACUAAUUUUAAGUAGACAUUCCGGCGAAAAUCACUCCCAUGAUCGAGACACUCAUGCAAUCAAUACAAAAAAUGGACACAAAAAUUGUCUACUUAAGUUUGGUUGAAUGAUUUUAAAAAUAGUUUUAUUUGUUUCACACUCGAAUUUGUAUUUUGAAAAAGAGUGGGAGUUAAAAAUUGAUUUACACUUUAUCAAUUACUCUAUUUUAAAAAGAAAUAAAUAUUAAAAAAAUAAAAACAUUAAUUUCUUGUUUGUUUGUACUUACCAUUGUAGGAUAAAUAAAGUGGUUGACAAAAAUUAGAUAUCUUAAAAAUAAAUUCUAAAUUUAUAACUAAUGUAUAAUGAUUUCAAUUCACAUGUUUCAAUCCCAAAUAAAUUCUCCUUUGGUUAUUUGAAUCUUAGCACGGUAAGAUUUCAUUCUCUUGUAUGCAUUUGUGUAAACUUCUCCCUUUACCUUUAUCAUUUUAUCAACUGUAUUGAUUGCCAAACAACUUUAGGGUUUAGGCAUGAAUCACACAAGGGAAUGAUAUUGUGGCAAUUUUUUCCCCCUUCUUUCUUCUUUUUGAAAAAAAAAAUUAAUUAUAGCUUUGCUUUGAUGGGUAGAAGACUAGAAGACCAAUUAAUUUCUUUUUGUUGCGUGGUGAUAAUAAUGGUGAAAAUUGCUAUGUGCGUGUUGGUGAUUGCAUUGCUAAUCACAUAUUGCUUCCCAUCAUGGAGACAAAGGGGACCCCUCUAUCAAAGCUAGCUGUUGAAAUAUCAUACCCAAAAUCACAUGAAUUCAAAGGUUGAAUGGGAAAACGAUCUUGCUUCUUUGUAUGUUUUAUUUUAUUUAAAGACUUAUUUUUCCCAUAAGAGAUAAGCUUGGAUCUAUCUUUCCUUUUAAUCAUUUUAGCCUCCAACUCCCAUCUUUUUCAAAAGUUUCGUUUAGCCCAUUUUGAAUGGCAAGGUAAGCUUCAAUCAACGCUACAAGUUCUAGUGAUUCCCGUCAAUAUUCGAUUGCAUGUAUGUAGCUUUGAAUGCUCAAAUUUAUUUUAUUUAUUAGUUGUUAUCACUUAUCAUUUUCUUUUUAAUAAUGAGAUUUGGGCAUUUUCUUUUUAAUAAUGAGAUUUGGGUCCCUAGAUGGUGAUUAGCCAACAGUCUAGUUAUGAGAAAUUAAUGUCUUAAUUACAAUGACAAAAAAAGGCAAGUGGGGAUCUCAUUUGCCAUUAGGUAACACAACAUCUUCAGCAUUGGAGCUUUUCUUCCUUUCUCUCCUUCUUUCUUUCUUUCUCAAAAUAAUUGAAAAUCUAAUGCAAUACAAUUAAAUUGAUCAACGAUCUAAUUUAAUCAAUACAUUAUAUUAAGAUAUUUAAAAUAAAAUCGGUUCAAAUGGAAUGAGAAAUUCUACUCACAAAAUAACAACAUUUAUUCCCGAAUUCAAAUAACCUUGGAUUCCAAAUGCAUUCAAGACUAGCCAGGCUGCAUAUCCAAGAAGAAAACAAAAUCAAAACUUUAGCCACAAACAUAUACGUGUGUGUGUAUGUGUGUGUGUAUAUAUGUGUGUGUGUGUCUGUGUAUAUAGAGAGAGAGAGAGUUCUUUCACUAGGUUCAUUUGCGUGAAACUUUUUGAUCAUUUAGGUUUAAGACUAUAUCAUAUAUCCUAUUGCAUGAACAUUGAUUAAUAUGAAUGAGUCAAACCCACUAAGCUUGUAACAAAAUCUUUUCAUAGUUACUAGAGAAUAUUUAUAUUUUUUUCAAACAUUAAUAAAAUUAUUGAAUUGCUUUAUUUAUAGUAUGUAUACAAUUAAUAGUGUAUGGAUUUUUUUAUCUAUUGGUAUAUUGAAAUAUGUGUUAUUUAGUUUGUUAGUGAUAUCAUCACUUUGUUAAAAUGAGAAUGUCCUUACUAGAGAAUCAUUAUAUAUACAUAUAUAAAGUGCUUGUGCUUCUAUCCAAGACCUAGAUUUUAUUAAAAUUUAAUAAAGCAAAUAUAUUUUAUAUGGUAUAAUAGUGUAAUAACAUCACACUAUUAUAUCAUAUAGAGUAAUAGUUUUUCGAUUUUUUUAAAGUUCAAGAUUAUAGAAUGAAUGAUUUAUAUAAAUUAUAAUUUUUUUAUCAUAAAUGGAGGCGAAAAUUAACAUAUUUUCAAAUUAUAAUAAGUAUUUAUCAAAUAAUUUAACAUUGUAAUUUCUCCUAACUAGUAUAGUAAAUAAUAUGACCUAGGAGGUACAUUCAAAGCAUUUCAUAAGUUAGUUGUUAAUAAUAAAUGAUAUAUGCAGCUCCAAUUAAUCAUCAUUGUACGGUGAGUAAUUUCCAGUUAUAAAUAGAUAUUACUCCCUUCCCAGCAAUUUUUGAUGGCUUAAUUUUGUGGGAUCAAAAUCAACAUUGAAUGUCAAAAUAUUAAUGGCCAAACAGACCAGCUGCCAACAACUUAUUCCAAUGUGAGUAGUUCACAGUGGGUACUGCACAUGAUGCUUGUUUCUCCUUUUGCAUCUAUUUUUGUUGUUAACAUUAAUUUCAAUAGCAGCUCUUUAAUCCCAAUUGUUGAUUUGGGACUAGAUAAGAAUUUAUCUUGGAACUCCAAUUCUCCCAAUUAUUUUAGUUGACAAUAUGUUUAACAUUAUUUUUUUAACAUUAUUAAUUACAUAUUAUUUAAUUAUCAGUAUAUAAUAUUCUUUAAUUUUCUAAUUUUAUAGGAUUAGACACAAAAUUGAUUAUGCCUUUUGAAAUUUAAGGGUUAUGUCAAUUGAAUAGAAAACUUGGAGUUAAACUUGUGGAUGUUUUUGUUGAUUAUCAAUUUAUGCAUGAAUUUUUGUACGUUUAUUUGGCUUAUUAUUAUUACUUUUAAACAUUUUUAUUGGUUUGAUUUAGGGUCAGUUUGGUAAUUCUAUAGCUUUUAAAAUAAUUACAGUUAGCUAUGCUGUAGAAAUUGAUCAAUCGUCAAGAGAAUCAGCUGAACAUUUAGUAAAAUUUAUUUUUAAAAGUACUUUUAGUUUUAAAAGCGUCGCAUGUGUUUCGUAAGUUAUAUACAUUGCUGAUUCUAUAUUAAUAAUGUUAUGUUCUAUUUUCAGAAAUUAUAAUACAAAAGUUUUUACAAUGGCGUGCAUCUACAAACUGAAUUGACUUGUAGAAUAAGAGCUUGGAGUAGUGUUAUGUUCUUGAAUAAAUGAAAGUUCAUAUGGUGUAAGAGCAUGUAGAUGUAAAGUGUCAUUACCAUUUCUAUAAAGGACUUUCAUUCUGUUCGGAUGCUCCUCUUGAACUCUGAAGGGUGCUUCAUUCAUAACACACAUAAUUUAUGCCAGGGAAGAGAAGAUGCCAAAAAAGUUGAAGGUGAUCAUUCAUAACUUUUCAGAAAGUUGUUGCAAAACAGAAAUCACCCAUCACGAUCGGUCGUACAAGUGUCUGCUACGAGUGCAGCAAAACGUUUGUCACGCUAGUUGUGCUAAAUGGACCUCUCCUGUGUGCCUCUAAAAUCAAUGCAUGUGAUCAUGUCGGUGAUUCAAUGGCUGGUGGGGAUGAGUCCACUCAAAUUCUGAAACUAAUCAGGUGAAAUAUAAACCCUUUUUGUCUCCUUCUUUAAUUGUAUGUUUUACUAUCCAUGUUUUACCCAAAAAAAUUGUAGGUUUACACUUUGCAAUCAAAUUUUGUAGUUGUGCUUUUUUCUUGCUUUUAUCCUAAUAAGCAAAAAAUCUAAUUAAUCCUAAUUAAAGGUGUUUUAAAAUUUAAAUAGAGAAAGUACCAUUGAGAUUUGAGAGAAAAUGAAUCGAUUGAUUUACUUCACAGUAUGAAUACACAGAGAGUUCGCUUGCUUUAUAUGCAGUAAUCUAACCAACUUGUUAACUAAGCUACUAUUCCCAGCAAAUCAAGCUAACCAAUCCCACUACUCAGCUUGUCUACUACAGAUCACAGAACCACUUGGGCUGAGCCGUAAUUCCAUGUCAUCAGUCUGUGCAACAACCUCAUUGAUCACUUGUUGUGCUGACUAUCGAACAACAGUGUGCCUCUUUAACAUAAUAGACUAAGCUCGUAUGCAUAGGAAUGGAUCUUUUAUUAUUGUCAUUAACUAUCUGUCCCUAAGGGUUUGGUUGAGUGAUUUAUUCCUUUAGUUGGCCCUCCCAAUCUUUUGGAUUGUUAUUGUCAUUAAAUAUCGGUCCCUAACUGCGUGAUGUAAGUACUUUCUAGAAGAUAUCUAAAUGGUAAAGCGACAUUACCAUUUCUAUAAAGGACUUUCAUUCUGUUCAGAUGCUCCUCUUGAACUCUGUAAUUCAGAUCCUAGCUAUAACUACUAGCUUUGAUUAAUUAAUUUCCUGUACUAGCUGAAACAGAUUUAUUUAUUUAAAUAAUUGUGUAUGUACUAAUUAUAAUGAAAGUAUAUGAAGAAAUUUUUUAACAUGAAUGACUUCUAAAUGACUUAAAAACCUAAACAAAUAAUGCUCAUUUCACUUGAACGAGCCUAUUAAUACUUGUAUGUCUAUGAUUUUUAAUAUUGGCUUAAGCGUUUCAGUUAAAUGGUUUACAUAAGAGGGAAAAAAAUUUAAUGGAAAACUUUAGAGUUCUAACAGAAAUAUAAUUGACUAUGCAGAUAUAGUUAUUUUAUGGUAUACAAAUCAUGUUGCCUUAAUCUCAAUGUCCUAUGACCUAUUUUAUUUUAUAUAGUCAUUCCUUUUGGCCAUGGCUUUUUGUUUUUAUGAGUACGGAAAUAGUGGGAUUUGGUGUAUCUUAGCAUCUUUGGAAAAUUCUCUUUAAAUGUGGCAAACAAAAAUAUACAUAUAAUCAAGUUUCUUAAUCAACUAUCAUAACUGGCUAGCUAGUUCUUGCCUGCCUUGCUGCCAUUACCCAGGCCAUUACAUUGCAUAGCAUAAGGAAUAGUGAUUAGGUGAUUAUUAGUGACUCGUUGAGCUUAUUAUUGACCAAACAAAUAUAUUUGCCUUUACCCACAACUUAGUUUGAUUAGUUAUUAGACCAUAAAGAGCGUAAAUCUGUUCAUUGGCUUUGUUAUUUUUGUUUGGUUUUUCUUUCAACAAUACUGUUAAUUUCUUAUAAAAAUAUUCAUUGGUUUUUAAACACCUAAUCAUUGGCUAUAAUGAAGCUAAUUGAAACUGAGGCUUUGGAUCAAUUCCUUCUGGCAAGAUACAAAUGAGCAUAACCUAUAUCCUCUAAGUAAAUUUUUCUAAUAUGCUUGAUUUGUUAGUAUCCGGAGGCUUGAAUCCUCUAGAUUUUUUUAACACUGUCAAUGUUCUUUUUACUCUGAAAAGGGAAAAAAAAGGUUAUAUCUUUCAUACCCUAAUAAUAAGUUGUCCUUGACUUAACAUGCCUUCCUGAGGAUUUGCAAGAUUCACAAGCAGCUCAACAACACCCCCCCCCAAAAAAAAGCAAAUACGAAGAUUUUGCAAGAUUCACAACCAGGUUAUAUUUAAUUUAUUAAUUGUGUGCACGUACUAGUUAUAUGUUGAAAGAAUAGGAAAAAGUAUUUUAACAUGAAUGACUUAAAACUUAUUGCUCAGUAAACUUAAUCUGCAUCAGUGCUAGAUAAUGUAUUUAUUGUUUGUAUUUUUUAUGGAUUUGCUUAAGAAAUGAUAUGCGAAAUAAUGCUAUAUUGUAUUAGGAAUAAAUUGAAGAGAUUUAUGAUAUUUAUGUGUUUUUAAAUUUCAGAUUGAAUUUUAAACUUUCAAUACAUGCAUUGAAAGCUUAGAUCGUUUAAGAAAUUAUUAAUAGACACAUGUUUUAUUAGUGUCAUCUUUGGAUGAUAGCGAGGAUCAUAUGUCUAUUAAUAAUUCUUGAAUUGUCUAGGCUUGAACUGUUUGGGAAUGCAUAGUUUUCUACGGUGGCUAGUAGCUGAAGUUUUUUUCCCACGUAAAAAUGGGUUUUUCGCUAGCUACUUCUCAUCUUCUUUGGGUGCAUACUAGAUAACACAUACACACUCAUAUAUCUAUGUCGUGUGCUAGGAGAACUAUUGGGAGAUGCUGCCGAAAUUCCUAUAAACGUAGAAGAAAACUUUAAAGUACUUGAGAUUGAAGAGACUUAUGCAUUCUUGAGAGGGAUAUAUGGGACCACUUACCUUUUGUAAAUAUGAAGGGAGUGUUGGACAUAUUGAUGGGAGUGAAGGAGCUGAGUUGGAUGGAUGUAAUUGGUUAUGGUUUUGCUGAGUUAACUUGGUUUUGACCUAGUAGUUUUGUUUAUAAAUGGAGUACUAUCUCCAAUGUUGGUUUAUAAAUAUGUUUCAGCUGGCUGACCUAAUUUUUUGUUUCUAGGUAACAGGCUUUAUAUCUGUAAUUGAUAGCCAACCGAAGUUCUCAGCUGUGGGUGAGGAUAUUUCUUUACAGAAGGUAUUGGAAACUGUUUUUUACAUUAAUUAUUGUGGUAUUUAUACUUGAAAAUCUUUUUCUCUGAUUCUUGUCGCUUUGCUUGCUUUCAUAUGUAUAAAUUCUAAUGAAAUUAACCAUAAAAUUGUAUAAUGAUUUUUUUUAAUUAUAUUGCAAAACUGUGCACACACGAAAAUAUCUUGGUCAUUAGUAGAAAUGAAGAACUAAAAUGAUUUAUCUAACUAAUUUUUGUAGUGCAUUAAAAGGAGAUGAAAAUGGAGAAGAGUUGGGUUGGUUUGGCAAAUAGAUAUCCAAGUUAUAGAUUUUGUAUUUGAGAAUGUUGUUGGUAAUGCAAGAAUUUAUUAUCCUUGUAAGGAGUGUCGAAUAUUUUGUUUUAAGGGAAGUAUCAAGAGACCAUAUCAUUAUAAAUGGUUUUUGGUUAAAAUAUUAAAACUGGAUAUUGCAUAGUGAGCCAUCUUCAUCUUUGGAAUCUAGCCAAGAAACAAGUUGGUCGUGACUCAGGUGCUGAUGAUGAUAUGAUUGGAAUGAUACAUGAUACAUCACAUAAUCAAAUGUUCAAUUCACACGCAGCAUUGUUAUGGACUAUCAGUGACUUUCUAGCAUAUGCCAACUUGUUUGAGUGGAGUAUUAAAGGUAAAUAAGCAUUUCUUGUUUGCCAACAAAACACUAGAUCUAAUUGGUUGAUACAUAGUCGAAAAUUUUGUCACGUCGGUAAUGUCGAUUUUUACCGACGAAUCAUAGGUUUUGAAAAUAUAGUGCCUUUUGAUAAAAGUAGAGAGUGGGGACAAGCACCUUCUCGGAUGUCUGGAGCUGAAGUGAAAAAGCAGUUGAGUAAUAUACUUACUGAGUUUAAGAUUGAAGACUUGAAAAGAGGAGAAUGAGUAAAAUGAGAGAAAUGAUAAGAUUACUUGGAAGAAGAAAAGCAUAUUUUAUGAACUACCGUGUUGGGAGUCCAAUUUGAUUCAUCAUAAUCUUGAUCUCAUGGGCUGUUUUGAUUUUUGUUAUGAACUCUGAUCAAAAGUUUAAUUUGAUCAAAAUUUCUUAAAAAUAGUGAAAACGACUCCUCCUAAUAACAUGGACGAUGGCUAUAACAGAUAAAAGGAAAGGAUUAAAAAGAAAAGCUAUGCCUGUUAAAAAAAGAAAAAAAAUUGGUGGCGUCAAGUUUAUAACAAAAAUUAAAACGGUGCGUUUGAGAGUGUAUAAAAUACAUUUAGAAUGGGAGCUGUGUUGUUUUUUGAAGGUAGAAUGAUUGUGAGAUAUUUGUCGACGAAGCCGAAAUCAAAGAUGAAGCCCAUAGAGCUCAAAACUCCACCAGAGCAAACUCAAGACAAUUAUUGACAUAGUCAAUGAUUGUAUUUGACAUAGUCAAGGAACAGGGUCCUCUCACUGUUGUCGAAACAUGGGAACGCGUCAAGGUGUGUGCAUCUGAUUGAGUGUGUUUUACAUUCAAUGAUCACUGAUCAUAAUACUAGUAGUUGUUUUACAUUUUCAGCAAGCAGGAGCGAGUGGAUUGACGGGCAAAAGCCACAUGAAGAUUGAGUGUGUUGAGUAAGCAAAUCCUGUGCACAAGUUGGUUCACCAAACCCAACAACUUGAAGCAACCAAAAUCAGGGAAUGAUCCUUCUCCGUGAUGGAAGUAAAGCACCAGUGAUGGAAGCUCCUCAGCAUGUAAACUUUUCAACAGUAGCACAGCUCUUAUUCCAGAGGCUGCACAGAAGAGCGACCUGAAUCCUCUUCAAAACUUUCAAAUUUUUAUCAAGUAAAGCUUUCAAAAUUUCUCAGCAAAUAGAUUAUUCAAAUGAAAGAAACACAAGGGAGUGACCUGAAUCCUCUUCAAAUCAGGAAAUUUAUUGCAUAAAUUACAAGAAGCAGUACACACCAAUGGUAAAUUGAUAAAUCGUUUUUUAACUUAAUAUAGUCAAAUGAAAGAAACACAGCGGAGGGUUAAUAUAACACUUUCAAAGCUGCAUUAGUAAUACGUUAAAGUGAAUACCCUCAGCAUGUAAACUUAACUUCAAAGGACGGAGCACAAGUUUCACAGAAAAGUAGCUCUUAUUCCUGAUGCUGCAAACACAGAGGAGUGUCCUCAAUCUUCUUCAUAACUUGGGAAUUCUGCAAUUAUAGAGCACGACAUUGAGCAUGAACUAUAAAAAAUAUUUAUUUUCUACAAUUUUCAUAUAACCUGACUAACCAAGAUUAAUUUUGUGGUAAUGUAUUGGGUCAUUAAUUCAUAUGUUUUUACUGUCAUCACUUUAGAAAAAACUAAUUUCUCAAUGUGAAAUGGCCCAUAAAAAGUAUUCUCAUUUAAAAACUAAAUUUGACAAACCCCUCGAUUAAAGCAGGGGAGAGAAAAGAAAAAAAAAAGAUCUGAAGGCUUUCCACAUGAAAAUGUUGUCACUUUGGAUGAUAUUUUCAAGGGAUUUCAUUCUAAAAAUAAAAUACCUGGGACCUUAUUCUUCAAAUUGACAGCUAGCCCAGUACUAAACGCGUAUGAGAUCAGUACUGUACUGUGACAAGUAACGAGACGACCCCUCCAACAGCUGAAAAUAUAAUUCGGAUUCAUCAAUUUAAAUUAAAAUUCAUAUUAUGAAAUAAAAACUAAUGAUUAAUGAAUUUUCGAGGAAUUUAAUAAGAUUCUCAUAUAUAAACGUGAUAAAAAAUUCUCUCGUCAAUAACAAAUAUUCUAACAGUUACCCGUACCUUUUCUUGAUGUAAUUGUUGUAUGAUUGUGUUAAGGUCAUUAUUAGACCAACGCCGUUUGUCCUCACUCCUUCCGUACCAGACGUUUACUCUCGGAGGCGUGCUUAAUUCUCCUUUGGUGAAAAUCUUCAUCUUGGGACAACUAAUCACCCACAAAUCUUGCAAAGAUGGGAAUUUGAAGGCGUAAUUGCCAGAGGAGAAGCUUGUGAGGCUGUCUAAAUCAAACAGGGACAACGUACUCAAUUUGCUGAAAACAAUCUCUUCUUCUAUAUUUGCUGUUUCAUCUUCGUCACUUAUUACGACUUCUGUGAUUGCUCUGCAUCCAAAUACACCCAAUGAUACGAGUCGCUCUAGACUUUUUGCUGUGGAGGAUGUUAGUAAGUUCAUCAAUUUCUUGCAAGCAAAAGCUUGCAGGCGUGUGAGAUUCCGAAAAGAUACCGAUGAUGAUGGCAAUAGACUUAACAGAUUUUGACAGUGAAAUGCUCUUAGAGUUUGAAGAUGUUGAAAAAUGAAGUCCGGCUGCUUGGAAUCGUGUUUCCAUAGUUGCUGCAGACGAUUAAGUCUGGUCAGGUCUAACCUUUUUAUCAGUGCCAGCUUCCUCGCAUGUGUCUCCAAAUAUCCUUCAUUUGAAAAUACCACUUCGUAUGAACAAUCCGACAGGAAGAGAAGUUCCAGAUUGUGAAACUUCUCAAGUAAACCAAGUGGAAAGCAAGCUAAGUCAUCAUCCCGAACCCGUAGUCGUUGAAGACUGCCAAAGAGGUGUUGUGGGAAAUCG
RNAcentral lists this long non-coding RNA (34181 nucleotides) under Citrus maxima (pomelo). RNAcentral's name for it is "long non-coding RNA (CMAX_LNC001325)". The record is from RNAcentral. Lineage: Eukaryota; Viridiplantae; Streptophyta; Magnoliopsida; Sapindales; Rutaceae.